RNAcentral lists this long non-coding RNA (1280 nucleotides) under Camelus dromedarius (Arabian camel). Its description in RNAcentral is "lncRNA (ENSCDRG00005012177.1)". Lineage: Eukaryota; Metazoa; Chordata; Mammalia; Artiodactyla; Camelidae. The record is from RNAcentral.
AAACUCCCAAUUUAUCCCUUCGCUCCCCCUUUCCCCCAGGUAACCAUAAGUUUUAAGCAAGUACUCUUAUACAAAGAUGGCACCAUACCGUCCAAACCGAACAACUUUACCCACCGUGAUCCAGUUUCCCCAUGACCAAUUUAAGUGCCAUGUUUCUUCUUUCUUUAGUGUUCUCUGGACUUGCCUAAACCAUUCCAGGAAUUACCGGAUACCUGAUUGCAUGCAGCUGUGGGUGUCCCAGGUAGAGCGGGGAGGAGGGCCACAGAAGCUGGUUUAUGAGCACAGGAAAUGCUUAUUUCACGACUCAGACUCCGUGGCUUUGUGAGCGUCUGCUCUGCUCCCUCGGUAAGCACCACCCUGCCUCAUCUACUCCCACUUUCUCUCCCACACUCUGAUCUCUCCCAGCUCUUCCCUUAGCUUAGAAUUUUCCACUUCCCUACCCUCCUUUAAUCGUGUGGGCCCUACAGGUCAGUCAAGAUGCAACUUAGAGGACACGUCUUGCCAGAAGCCCUCCCUGACCAUCCCAGACAGGUGCCAGAUCCCUGCAGCUCUGGGUGUGUCCUCCUAUCCUGGCUUAUCGUUCUACACUGCAAUUGUGGGUUCAAUGGUCUCUGACUGUGAACUCAUCAAGGGUGGGGACCCUGUCUUGUCCGCUGGUAUCCUGAGAUCCCAGUAUCAAUUCUGGGCACGUAGGUUUCUCGUAAAUACUUGCUGAAUGAACAAAUAAGUGAAUAAAUACAAGUGUUCCCUUGCAAGUCCAUUCCACUCUGAAAGCAUGACAUAACACCAGCUACAGCGACCAUGAACAUCCGCAUUCAGAGGCCUGGGGUUGGCUGGAAGGACACAGACAGGAACAGCAGGUUAGAAAUAUCAUUUCUUUGUCUAUAUCAGCGAGAAGAAACCCCACUGCUGUCCAACCCAAGACCAUAGGAGUAAAUAAUCUUUGAUGAAGGCAAAAAAAAAAAAAAGUUUAAGCCUGAAAAAUUUGUGGCUGGAAAAAAAUGUUUCAAACAGCAUUUUAUUUUUCCCGUCUGUGGGCUUGUUGUAUAAAUAAUGCGUGAGACAAAUAUGUGAUAGAGAGAUUCAGUGGUAAUUACUUGUUCUCAAAUGUUUGCUUAACCACGCCUCUUAAUCCCACAGACAGUAGUUUAGCACAGAAUUAAAUUCUGCCCUUUAGGAAGGAUUAGCUUUUGGAGUUUUGUGUUUCUGUAGUUUAAAUGUUUUUAUCCCAAUAUUUGUACUUUUCCAUUUAGAAAUAAUGCACUGAGCGUAUGGGGGGC